UGUCAGUACUGUUCAAUCACUUAUUAAGAAGUGGAAAGUUCUAGGAUUCUGGCGUGAGCUAUAAAGGCACGGGGAAUCUUGUGAAAAUAAAUGGCAAGAUAAAUGCAGCAUGUUCUAUGAAAAUACUGGCAGACAAUUUGCAUUCUUCUGCAUGAAGGCUGCGCAUGGGACCCUCUUGGACUUUCCGGCAUGACAAUGACCCUGAGCACAAGGCCAAGUUGACCCUCCAGUGGUUACAGCAAAAAAAGGUGAAGGUUCUGGAGUGGCCAUCACAGUCUCCUUACCUCAAUAUCGAGCCAUUCUGGGGAGAUCUCAAACGUGAGGUUCAUGCAAGGCGACCAAAGUCUUUGCAUGACUUGGAGGCAUUUUGCCAUGAUAAAUUUCCCUACCU
Non-coding RNA from Pelobates cultripes (western spadefoot toad), 391 nucleotides. The record is from the annotation of a GenBank genome assembly. NCBI's taxonomy places the organism in Eukaryota, Metazoa, Chordata, Amphibia, Anura, Pelobatidae.